Molecule: ribosomal RNA, 37 nt
Filed under: Pieris rapae (cabbage white)
Lineage: Eukaryota; Metazoa; Arthropoda; Insecta; Lepidoptera; Pieridae
Description: partial 5.8S ribosomal RNA
Source: RNAcentral
AACAAAACGAUUACCCUGAAGGGCGAUCCCAAUCACU